GAUGAACGCUAGCGACAGGCCUAACACAUGCAAGUCGAGGGGCAUCGGGACGUAGCAAUACGUUGCCGGCGACCGGCGGAUGGGUGAGUAACGCGUAUGCAACCUACCCGUAGCAGGGGGAUAGCCCGUUGAAAGACGGAUUAAUACCCCGUAACACAGGGGCUCCGCAUGGAGAUUAUUGUUAAAGGGUCAUUUCUUUUAGAGGUGGUCCGGCUGCGGAUGGGCAUGCGUUCCAUUAGGUAGUUGGUGUAGGUAACGGCUCACCAAGCCGACGAUGGAUAGGGGAACUGAGAGGUUGGUCCCCCACACUGGUACUGAGACACGGACCAGACUCCUACGGGAGGCAGCAGUGAGGAAUUUUGGUCAAUGGACGCAAGUCUGAACCAGCCAUGUCGCGUGAAGGAGGACGGCCCUAAGGGUUGUAAACUUCUUUUGCAGUGGAAUAAAGUUUGCCACGUGUUGGCGAUUUGCAAGUACGCUGCGAAUAAGGAUCGGCUAACUCCGUGCCAGC
This 511-nucleotide ribosomal RNA is filed under the name uncultured bacterium. RNAcentral describes it as "bacterial SSU rRNA". It matches the Rfam family "Bacterial small subunit ribosomal RNA", at positions 28 to 512 of the family's 1533-position model. The record is from RNAcentral.